Molecule: ribosomal RNA, 457 nt
Filed under: Pseudoalteromonas sp. PA6(2010)
Lineage: Bacteria; Pseudomonadati; Pseudomonadota; Gammaproteobacteria; Alteromonadales; Pseudoalteromonadaceae
Description: bacterial SSU rRNA
Rfam family: Bacterial small subunit ribosomal RNA
Source: RNAcentral
UCAGAUUGAACGCUGGCGGCAGGCCUAACACAUGCAAGUCGAGCGGUAACAUUUCUAGCUUGCUAGAAGAUGACGAGCGGCGGACGGGUGAGUAAUGCUUGGGAACAUGCCUUGAGGUGGGGGACAACCAUUGGAAACGAUGGCUAAUACCGCAUAAUGUCUACGGACCAAAGGGGGCUUCGGCUCUCGGCCUUUAAGAUUGGCCCAAGUGGGAUUAGCUAGUUGGUGAGGUAAAGGCUCACCAAGGCGACGAUCCCCUAGCUGGUUUGAGAGGAUGAUCAGCCACACUGGAACUGAGACACGGUCCAGACUCCUACGGGAGGCAGCAGUGGGGAAUAUUGCACAAUGGGCGCAAGCCUGAUGCAGCCAUGCCGCGUGUGUGAAGAAGGCCUUCGGGUUGUAAAAGCACUUUCAGUCAGGAGGAAAGGUUAGUAGUUAAUACCUGCUAGCUGUGACG